This 253-nucleotide ribosomal RNA is filed under the name uncultured bacterium. Its description in RNAcentral is "partial 16S ribosomal RNA". It matches the Rfam family "Bacterial small subunit ribosomal RNA", at positions 524 to 776 of the family's 1533-position model. The record is from RNAcentral.
UACAGAGGGUGCGAGCGUUAAUCGGAAUUACUGGGCGUAAAGCGUGCGUAGGUGGUUUGUUAAGUCGGGUGUGAAAUCCUUGGGCUCAACCUGAGAAUUGCAUCUGAAACUGGCGAGCUAGAGUGUGGUAGAGGGUGGUGGAAUUCCCGGUGUAGCGGUGAAAUGCGUAGAUAUCGGGAGGAACAUCAGUGGCGAAGGCGGCCACCUGGACCAACACUGACACUGAGGCACGAAAGCGUGGGGAGCAAACAGG